This 450-nucleotide ribosomal RNA is filed under the name uncultured Glomeromycotina. RNAcentral describes it as "SSU rRNA". It matches the Rfam family "Eukaryotic small subunit ribosomal RNA", at positions 569 to 1024 of the family's 1831-position model. Lineage: Eukaryota; Fungi; Glomeromycota. The record is from RNAcentral.
AGCAGCCGCGGUAAUUCCAGCUCCAAUAGCGUAUAUUAAAGUUGCUGCAGUUAAAAAGCUCGUAGUUGAAUUUCGGGAUCGAUAUAUCGGUCGUGCCUCGGUACGUACUGGUAUUUUCGGUUUCUCCCUUCUGACGAACCUUGAUGUCAUUAAUUUGGUGUCUUGGGGAAUCAGGACUGUUACUUUGAAAAAAUUAGAGUGUUUAAAGCAGGCUCACGCUUGAAUACAUUAGCAUGGAAUAAUGAAAUAGGACGUUUGAUUCUAUUUUGUUGGUUUCUAGGAUCGACGUAAUGAUUAAUAGGGAUAGUUGGGGGCAUUAGUAUUCAAUUGUCAGAGGUGAAAUUCUUGGAUUUAUUGAAGACUAACUACUGCGAAAGCAUUUGCCAAGGAUGUUUUCAUUAAUCAAGAACGAAAGUUAGGGGAUCGAAGACGAUCAGAUACCGUCGUAGU